CUUUUCCAUGGCGCGGAGCUUGGCGACGUUCUUCUGAUGGGCGUCGUAAGUCUCGGUGAAGGCGUGCCCGCCGGUGCCGUCGGCGACGAAGA
RNAcentral lists this transfer RNA (92 nucleotides) under Bradyrhizobium ottawaense. RNAcentral describes it as "tRNA-Gln". RNAcentral also lists the same sequence under 1 other name. The record is from RNAcentral. Lineage: Bacteria; Pseudomonadati; Pseudomonadota; Alphaproteobacteria; Hyphomicrobiales; Nitrobacteraceae.